CUUAAAAGAAUCUUCUAACUUGAUGUUCAUAUUCUACUAUUUUAUCUUACACAAGAAAAUAAGUUCCCAAUGUUGCUAAAGAGUUAACAGCAAUUCGGCCGGGGAAGAAUAAUACUACAUGCCAUGAUGUUGUGAUUGAAGUCCGCGACGUCAAUCAUUCGGGCGUGGAAGACCAUACCAAGCAGCAACCAGAAUAUCACGAGAAGUCAGUGCGCGAUAGAGGACAAGGAAAAAGGAAUAAACAGCGACUCUACUGUAGCUAGGACAAUUAUUGAGGAGCGGAGAUCCGUCCAGGUGUCCAGGCAACACAGGAGGACAAUAGUUGAAGGCACCAGAAGCCUUAAGCACGAAGCAACUCCAGAAGCCUCUACCGCGUCUAUAAAAGGAGCUACCGGGUGAAGCAUUCAGCAUCACCAAGAAUCACCGAGACAUCAGAAAAUCAGCAACACACCACCACAUCGAGCACCGAAGAAAGCAAGAUCACCAAAGACCUCCACCCACACUCCACUCAUACUCCAUGAAGACAUCCACCACCUCGGAACCUCUCUAAGGAAAAAGAUUUAGCCACCAUAUUUAGAAUCACCCACUACCGCUGUAUUACUCCACCUCGUCCGUACCACUACUAGAAUAAAGGGAGGCCGUUGGAGCUCGUCCCUCGGUUUGUAAGGUAAUCAAGGUUUGUGCUAUGUGCUUGGGGUUUCCAGAAAGGGAAAGCUGCAUCUAAGCUUGUCCCGUGGAAAUGGAUUAAGCUGUCCUGGUAGCAUGCCUGCCUUCCUUUAAGCUCGUUCGUAUGGGGCGAUGUCUCAACGCUAGGGACCCUAGAGGAGAAACCUCUGCGUGUGUCGUUCUCGUGUUAGCCCUGGUAGCGGUGUUUGAGGAGAACCCUGUGUGCGUAGAGAAGUGUUCCCUUCAGGUGGAACUUCCUGGGGAGACGGUACAGCCUGAGUCCUGUGUGAGCGUGGCUGGGGACGGUGAGGGCGCAGACCGGGCUGGCCUGGUUCUGAAGCGAGCCAGUGAGGCAUGCGGUGAGUACCGAGUAGGACUGUCACAAUCAUAGCAGCAUGUCCGGCUGAAUUCUUUCGGUCUCGCCAACCCGCAAAGAUCCUGAGAAUAGACUUAAUCAAGGAAUAUACCUAAUCACGCACCCGUGCGUGCCAUAUCCUCUGAAAGCGACCCCGAAUAGUAGCUCAAUAGUGCGCAAUAGUGAGUGAAUAGCGCUGCCACAUUUAGGUGCUCCACCCACUCCCUGGUGAGUGCUCGGGCACUAUUCAUAUUCCCAUUUUGAAUAGUGAGCUGAAUUUAAAUAGUGCCGCGAAUUUGAAUAGUGUUCACCGAAUUUAAAAUUACAUCCUUUACCGGACGGAGGGAGUACUAUUUGAUUCUGUAAGUUUGUAUAAUUUGUUCCGUGAGUUUAUAUAACUUGUUCAAUUAGUCUAAUAUUUGAGUUCGUAUAAUUUGUUCUAGGUGUAUAUAUCUUAAAAGAAUCUUCUAACUUGAUGUUCAUAUUCUACUAUUUUAUCUUACACAAGAAAAUAAGUUCCCAAUGUUGCUAAAGAGUUAACAGCAAUUCGGCCGGGGAAGAAUAAUACUACAUGCCAUGAUGUUGUGAUUGAAGUCCGCGACGUCAAUCAUUCGGGCGUGGAAGACCAUACCAAGCAGCAACCAGAAUAUCACGAGAAGUCAGUGCGCGAUAGAGGACAAGGCAAAAGGAAUAAACAGCGACUCUACUGUAGCCAGGACAAUUAUUGAGGAGCGGAGAUCCGUCCAGGUGUCCAGGCAACACAGGAGGACAAUAGUUGAAGGCACCAGAAGCCUUAAGCACGAAGCAACUCCAGAAGCCUCUGCCGCGUCUAUAAAAGGAGCUACCGGGUGAAGCAUUCAGCAUCACCAAGAAUCACCGAGACAUCAGAAAAUCAGCAACACACCACCACAUCGAGCACCGAAGAAAGCAACAUCACCGAAGACCUCCACGCACACUCCACUCAUACUCCAUGAAGACAUCCACCACCUCGGAACCUCUCUAAGGAAAAAGAUUUAGGCACCAUAUUUAGAAUCACCCACUACCGCUGUAUUACUCCACCUCGUCCGUACCACUACUAGAAUAAAGGCAGGCCGUUGGAGCUCGUCCCUCGGUUUGUAAGGUAAUCAAGGUUUGUGCUAAGUGCUUGGGGUUUCCAGAAAGGGAAAGCCGCAUGUAAGCUUGUCCCGUGGAAAUGGAUUAAGCUGUCCUG
This 2231-nucleotide long non-coding RNA is filed under the name Setaria italica (foxtail millet). RNAcentral describes it as "long non-coding RNA (SITA_LNC003238)". Lineage: Eukaryota; Viridiplantae; Streptophyta; Magnoliopsida; Poales; Poaceae. The record is from RNAcentral.